This is a small nucleolar RNA of Polyodon spathula (Mississippi paddlefish), 73 nucleotides long. RefSeq annotates it as small nucleolar RNA SNORD50. The record is from RefSeq and is a predicted model, not a curated record. NCBI's taxonomy places the organism in Eukaryota, Metazoa, Chordata, Actinopteri, Acipenseriformes, Polyodontidae. The transcript has a single exon.
AGUCCUAUGAUGAAUCUAUCCCGAACCCGAGUAUUGAUGAAAAAUUCAAACGGAUCUGACUGCUGACCUGGAC